AGUUUUCAAAAAGAAAGGAUUUAUUUAUAUUGGAACAGAAAGUUUAAGAACACUUUGAGUUUAGCUAUGGUUUGUUCUACAAGGGUUCACAUACUGGGUGGGUCUCAGUCUUCAAAAGAAUAAUGUUUAGAGAUGGUAGAGCCUUUGAGAGGUUGGUCAUAGAACCACUUCCCUUAGAAGGGACUAACUCCCAUCUUGAGAGUCAAUUGGGUCUCACCAGCAUAGGGUGGAUUGAUAAUUAAACAAAGAAUGGGCUGUAAUAAGGCAAGGUCAUCGUAUGUGUAUUAUCAUAGGAUUAUAAAUGGUGCUUAGGGGAAAAGAAGGAAGGUAGAGUUUCUGGUGGUACAUGGAAGUAGGGUACCAUCAAACGCUUAGCCCAGAUGCUUUUAAAAGACUUAUAGCAGAAAUAGAGAUGGCUUGGAGGGAUGAGCUGCAGUCCGGUUGAUCCAUCCACAAAGUGUCCAGGUGCCCCUCAAUUUGGCCAUGUUCAGUUCAUACAUAUUGUUUCUAGGCAGAGAUGUCCAUUCAGGGGAAGAGAGAUAACAAGAAACCAGACCUUCCUCCUGGCACAAAAAGUUUUCUCAACUCACUUUCUCAUUGUUCAUGAAAUUAAUUAUUUAAAAAUUUGACUCAAAGGACACAGAAGCCACUGGCCUGUUGUUGUUUUGGUGACUUCUGGUUUGUUUGGGACUCUUAGCUAUGCUCUUCUGAGAUGAGAAAGCCAUCAUGGCUCUGAAAGACACCCCUAUUCCUGUGUAUGCAUCAUUGCUUUGUUCAGAGGCCUGUGAUGUCACCCCCCCCCAUAUUCUGAUGCCUUCCCUACACACAGGGACAUGAGCUAAGCCUCAGAUAUUUUGUUAGCAACCUAAAGAGGACUAUGAAAGAAUCCAUGCCUAGAUGAGGAGUAGAACUAUGAGUGAGUCAAAGGAGAAAUUUUAUCCAACUCGUUCUAAAAGAUUUUGAUAUGGCUCUGUACAAUGGUUGUGAGAUAUAAUCCAUUGAAGAUAUGGAACUCUGUCUUAUAUUUGGAGAUGUGUGGGGUAUGUAUGUGUUACAAUGUAUGUGUGGAGGUCAGAUGAUAAUUUUCAGGAGUCAAUCCUCUUUUUUCCACCAUUGGUUCUGGAAACUGACUUCAGAUUGUCAGCUUGUCCAGAAAGGCCAUCUUACUGGCCAUUGUGGCCAUUUACUUAAACUCAAUGUUGAUUAGAAAAAGGCACUUUCCUUUAGGGCAUGUCAUGGUCAAUUUUCUGUGUCAGUUUGACCAGGAUUGAGAAUAACCAGGUAGCUGUUAAGAGGUCAUUUUUGGCCUGCAUGUACUUCUGCACCUACACAUAUGCACACAUGCAUAUGUACCACACAUACAUUCACCACAUAAAUACACAUCACAUAUUCAUACAUACACAUGCAAUCAGUAAAAUAUAUGCACAGUACUGGUAAAGAAAUUAGAUCUAAAGGUUAACAUAUUCAGAAACUAGGACACAAUCAUUUUGAAAGAGAAUAUUGAAGAAGCAAUUGUCCCACGUCCCACUCCCAACAUUUUCCUCCCUGGAUAGUAUAGAGAAUGAACAUAAAUCUUAAAUCUCUCUCUUGGCACCUCUGACUUGGAGACAAAUAAAUUAAAUUCUUAUUAUGGGUGUGUGCAUGCCAUAUCUUAUGUGUGGAGGUACAAAUGACAAUGUGUGUUGGUUCUCUCCUUCCAUCUGGGUCCUGGGGUCCUCAGAGUUGGUGGCAAGUUCCCUUAACUCGGAGUUCAAUCAUCAGCAUAAGACAUUAUUUUAUGAUUUUAAAAGUUCUUCUCUUUUACUCCUUGCUUGUGCCUUAUUUCCUUGUAUAUUCUCUUGGGGUGAUUAAAUUGUUUUCUUCUCGUUGAUAAAUAAGUAUUACAUUAGGAUUUACAAGCAUUUUAACAGUUUCAAACAUAACACAAUCCAUGUAAAGGAGACCUUUCUACCUUUGCUAUUUUAGUUUGUAUGAUUUUAGGAACAUGCAGAGUAAUAAAUCAUGCCUAGGC
This 2011-nucleotide long non-coding RNA is filed under the name Mus musculus (house mouse). RNAcentral's name for it is "long non-coding RNA chr3:66191520-66193531". The record is from RNAcentral. Lineage: Eukaryota; Metazoa; Chordata; Mammalia; Rodentia; Muridae.